This 301-nucleotide ribosomal RNA is filed under the name uncultured bacterium. RNAcentral describes it as "partial 16S ribosomal RNA". It matches the Rfam family "Bacterial small subunit ribosomal RNA", at positions 509 to 808 of the family's 1533-position model. The record is from RNAcentral.
CAGUCGCCACGGGAACACGUAGGUGGCAAGCGUUGUCCGGAAUUAUUGGGCGUAAAGCGCGCGCAGGCGGAUCGGUCAGUCUGUCUUAAAAGUUCGGGGCUUAACCCCGUGAUGGGAUGGAAACUGCCAAUCUAGAGUAUCGGAGAGGAAAGUGGAAUUCCUAGUGUAGCGGUGAAGUGCGUAGAUAUUAGGAAGAACACCAGUGGCGAAGGCGACUUUCUGGACGAAAACUGACGCUGAGGCGCGAAAGCCAGGGGAGCGAACGGGAUUAGAUACCCGAGUAGUCCCUGUCUCUUAUACC